Molecule: signal recognition particle RNA, 269 nt
Rfam family: Bacterial large signal recognition particle RNA
About the family: The signal recognition particle (SRP) is a universally conserved ribonucleoprotein involved in the co-translational targeting of proteins to membranes. Archaeal SRP consists of a 7S RNA and homologues of the eukaryotic SRP19 and SRP54 proteins.
CCGCGCUAAGACGGGGAGCCGGGGGUGCCCUGUAGCCUGCAUAACCCUCCAUAGCAGGGUCGAUGUCCAUCUGAGGUUUUGCUUGGUCGGGACAGCCCGGGAGAAGUGGUGUUGAAGGUCGGGCUCUCCGCAACAGGAACUUGUGAACCGGGUCAGGACGGGAACGGAGCAGCCCUAAACAAGACCUCUUGUGUGCCGGAGAACUACCUGGUUGGAGCUAACUGGCCCGGUAACGCCGGGUUUGUCAUUAUCGAAGAUUGGAUGCGCGG